AUUGAACGCUGGCGGCAUGCCUUACACAUGCAAGUCGAACGGUAACGGGCCUUCGGGUGCCGACGAGUGGCGAACGGGUGAGUAAUGCAUCGGAACGUACCUUUCAGUGGGGGAUAACGUAGCGAAAGUUACGCUAAUACCGCAUAUUCUGUGAGCAGGAAAGCAGGGGAUCGCAAGACCUUGCGCUGAUUGAGCGGCCGAUGUCAGAUUAGCUAGUUGGUGAGGUAAAGGCUCACCAAGGCGACGAUCUGUAGCGGGUCUGAGAGGAUGAUCCGCCACACUGGAACUGAGACACGGUCCAGACUCCUACGGGAGGCAGCAGUGGGGGAAUUUUGGACAAUGGGGGGCAACCCUGAUCCAGCCAUGCCGCGUGAGUGAAGAAGGCCUUCGGGUUGUAAG
Molecule: ribosomal RNA, 399 nt
Filed under: uncultured bacterium
Lineage: Bacteria
Description: bacterial SSU rRNA
Rfam family: Bacterial small subunit ribosomal RNA
Source: RNAcentral